RNAcentral lists this ribosomal RNA (1221 nucleotides) under metagenome. Its description in RNAcentral is "bacterial SSU rRNA". It matches the Rfam family "Bacterial small subunit ribosomal RNA", at positions 286 to 1498 of the family's 1533-position model. The record is from RNAcentral.
GCGGGUCUGAGAGGAUGAUCCGCCACACUGGAACUGAGACACGGUCCAGACUCCUACGGGAGGCAGCAGUGGGGAAUUUUGGACAAUGGGGGCAACCCUGAUCCAGCCAUGCCGCGUGAGUGAAGAAGGCCUUCGGGUUGUAAAGCUCUUUCAGCCGGGAAGAAAACGCAUGGGUUAAUACCCUGUGUCGAUGACGGUACCGGAAUAAGAAGCACCGGCUAACUACGUGCCAGCAGCCGCGGUAAUACGUAGGGUGCGAGCGUUAAUCGGAAUUACUGGGCGUAAAGCGUGCGCAGGCGGUCUUGUAAGACAGGCGUGAAAUCCCCGGGCUUAACCUGGGAACUGCGUUUGUGACUGCAAGGCUAGAGUACGGCAGAGGGGGGUGGAAUUCCACGUGUAGCAGUGAAAUGCGUAGAGAUGUGGAGGAACACCAAUGGCGAAGGCAGCCCCCUGGGUCGAUACUGACGCUCAUGCACGAAAGCGUGGGUAGCAAACAGGAUUAGAUACCCUGGUAGUCCACGCCCUAAACGAUGUCAACUAGGUGUUGGGAGGGUAAAACCUUUUAGUACCGGAGCUAACGCGUGAAGUUGACCGCCUGGGGAGUACGGCCGCAAGGUUAAAACUCAAAGGAAUUGACGGGGACCCGCACAAGCGGUGGAUGAUGUGGAUUAAUUCGAUGCAACGCGAAAAACCUUACCUACCCUUGACAUGCCAAGAACUUUCCAGAGAUGGAUUGGUGCCCGAAAGGGAACUUGGACACAGGUGCUGCAUGGCUGUCGUCAGCUCGUGUCGUGAGAUGUUGGGUUAAGUCCCGCAACGAGCGCAACCCUUGUCGUUAAUUGCCAUCAUUUAGUUGGGCACUUUAACGAGACUGCCGGUGACAAACCGGAGGAAGGUGGGGGUGACGUCAAGUCCUCAUGGCCCUUAUGGGUAGGGCUUCACACGUCAUACAAUGGUCGGUACAAAGGGUCGCCAAGCCGCGAGGUGGAGCCAAUCCCAGAAAGCCGAUCGUAGUCCGGAUCGCAGUCUGCAACUCGACUGCGUGAAGUCGGAAUCGCUAGUAAUCGUGGAUCAGAAUGUCACGGUGAAUACGUUCCCGGGUCUUGUACACACCGCCCGUCACACCAUGGGAGCGGGUUCCGCCAGAAGUAGGUAGCCUAACCGCAAGGAGGGCGCUUACCACGGCGGGGUUCGUGACUGGGGUGGAGUCGUAACAAGGUA